RNAcentral lists this ribosomal RNA (253 nucleotides) under uncultured bacterium. RNAcentral's name for it is "partial 16S ribosomal RNA". It matches the Rfam family "Bacterial small subunit ribosomal RNA", at positions 524 to 776 of the family's 1533-position model. The record is from RNAcentral.
UACGAGGGGUGCAAGCGUUAUUCGGAAUAACUGGGCGUAAAGAAUGCGUAGGCGGCUUGUUAAGUUGGUUGUUAAAUUCCCUGGCCUAACUAGGGACUCGCGACCAAAACUGGCUUGCUAGAGAUCAAGAGAGAGAAGUGGAAUUCUCGGAGUAGCGGUAAAAUGCGUAGAUCUCGAGAGGAACACCGAUGGCGAAGGCAGCUUCUUGGCUUGAAUCUGACGCUGAGGCAUGAAAGCGUGGGGAGCAAACAGG